GACGAACGCUGGCGGCGUGCCUAAUACAUGCAAGUCGAACGCAGUGGGGACGGGUGAGUAACACGUGGGUAACCUCCCAUCAGAGGGGAUAACACUUGGAAACAGGUGCUAAACCGAUACUGAUGGAUGAACCCGCGGUGCAUUAGCUAGUUGGUGAGGUAACGGCUCACCAAGGCCACGAUGCAUAGCCGACCUGGGAGGGUGAUUGGCCCAACGUGGACUGAGAAACGGCCCAGACUUCUACGGGAGGGAGCAGUAGGGAAUUUUCGGCAAUGGACGAAAGUCUGACCGAGCAACGCCGGGUUAGUGAAGAAGGUUUUCGGAUCGGAAAACUCUGUUGGUAGAGAAGCGGUAUCUAACCAGAAAGCCACGGCUAACUACGUGCCAGCAGCCGCGGUAAUUC
This 403-nucleotide ribosomal RNA is filed under the name uncultured bacterium. RNAcentral describes it as "partial 16S ribosomal RNA". It matches the Rfam family "Bacterial small subunit ribosomal RNA", at positions 28 to 526 of the family's 1533-position model. The record is from RNAcentral.